RNAcentral lists this non-coding RNA (21 nucleotides) under Caenorhabditis elegans. Lineage: Eukaryota; Metazoa; Nematoda; Chromadorea; Rhabditida; Rhabditidae. The record is from RNAcentral.
UUCUUCGUUUUCAAAAAAUAC